Spodoptera frugiperda (fall armyworm) is the source of this 3608-nucleotide long non-coding RNA. RefSeq lists it as uncharacterized. The record is from RefSeq and is a predicted model, not a curated record. NCBI's taxonomy places the organism in Eukaryota, Metazoa, Arthropoda, Insecta, Lepidoptera, Noctuidae. The transcript is spliced from 3 exons.
GUAUAAUUGGGGGUUCUGCAUCACUUGCUCUCGCGGCGCUCGAGCUGCGCGAUGCAGAAGCCCCCAAUUAUACCGCUUAUGCAGAUCGUAAUGUGAAUAUCGUAUUCAAUAACAAUGCAGUCGAAUAGGUAUUGCGCUCGAUUCGCAACUGCAUUCAACGGGAAUCCGACUCCCUAGUAUCAUGAUGUAAUGCACUGUAGCUUGUUUUGCAUCUGUUGCAUUAUAAUAUGUAAGAGAUUGAUCGUCUAAAUCUAAACUCAUUACACUUGCAUUUAAUAACACUUGUGAGCACGUUUAUUAUCAUGCAUCUGUUAUAACAAAACAUUGCAUCUCAGUUGUAUUCCCCGAAGGAGUAGACCGCUAUGCUUAUGUCCGAUGUAAUAACACUGUAUGAAAUCCUUUCCUUUUUACAAGUUAACAUCACACUAAUAUUAUAAAAUAUGUGAAAGUUUGUUUGGAUAUUUGGAUGUUUGUCCGUCAAUCACGUUGAAACUACUGAACGGAUUUUGAUGAAAUUUGGUAUAGGUACUGACAGAGUAUGAGCUGACUAGGGUGAUAGGAUACUUUUUAUCCGAGUGCGGGAAGUAGUUCCCGCGGGAGCGGGUGAAACCGCGGGAAACAUAGGUUCAUACAAUGGUACAUACAACUUCCUAUUUAGAAUUGCAUCUCAGGUAUCCGCGACACUGUGGCGCCGUUUUCUAAAUUAGGAAAGAAAAAAGAUGUGUGCUCAUUAUACGUGCUACAUAUUAUCAAAUUGAACUCUAGGAUUCCGAACAUAGAGUUUAAUUUGUAUCAUUAGAGUUUUAGAACUUGUUAAUAUACACGAGUGCAAUAAAUUAAAAAAGUGUCUGUAUUUAAUUGGUAACAAUUACUGCGAGUGUUUGUUUGGGAUAAUCACAUAAGAUGUCGGUGAGUAUUUUUUUUUUCUGAUUUUUAUUAAAAAUAUUUCAUUGUUUAUUACGGCUAUAUUUAGUUUUUUUUGUUCCAGGACUCUGAAGACCUUUUUAAUUUUGUCCCAUACCCGCCAAAGGAACCAAAUGCAGGCGAGUCAUCUAAACUCAAUUUGAAGAGAAAAGGUGGAACAUCAUCAGCUCCACAAAAGCGCCAGCGAGUUCAAGUAUACUCUUAUACUAAAACCAGGGCUCAAAAUAUAUCGGCGUCAUCAAGGACGAUUAAAAUUGAAAUAUAUGAGGGUGAUAACCAGCCUGAAAAGGCUUGCGAGUGCAGUGCGGACAAAUGUGUGCAAUACAUAAUAAAAAAUAGUUGUGAUGAUAUAUACUUCGCUUUAGAAAAUAUAAUUGGAAAAAUUCAUGAAAACAUGCAAUAAUUUUUUUUUAUAUUUAUAUUCACACUCUCAUGACUGUGUAACAUUCUUUUUCAGUUAAGUUUAAAUUAUCUUUGUUUAUAUGUAUAAUCAUAAUUAUUAUACUGUUAUAAUUUUUUUUUACUUUUUCUAUGUAUUUCUUUUGAUGCUAAAUAUUUUACUGUCGAAUAAAGAUGUGUUUUUAUAUUUGCAAACUUAAAAUACGUCACUAUAAUUAAAGAAAAAUAAAUAUAUAAAAUUAUUUACAUUAAUAAAAUAAUUGUUAUUAUACUAUCAUUAUUAUAUUAGCAGUGUCCCGCUGUAUAACAACAGUAGCUAAAAUUAUGUAGUUGAUAUACUUACUAUACCAUACCUAUGUAUGCUAGCUUUAAAAAUAAAUUAGGAAUAUGGUGUUACUUUAAACAUGUUUAAUAAAAAUAUUUCCUAGGUAUUGUGUACACAAUUUGGUUUUAUUUUAAAUCAACUCAUCGCAAUAGAAGAGGCCUAAGUCUAAAAAUUCUUAAAAGGAAUAACCACCUUAUGACUACGCAAUAAGGUCGCAUUUUCAGUGUAAACACUCUUGUACUAAUGUUAGUAUACUAUUAAAAAAGCGUAUUAGUUCGUGCAUACAUAAUAUGAGGUCUCAUAUAAUUGGUUAUAAGAAAGUUUCUUGUUAUGACCGCCGUUAAUUGAGCUCUAAUUCCUUUUACGAUUUUCAUCUCGAAUUGCUUGGUGAAAAGCUAUUAUGGUCGUUAUGAUGAGCAGACAUAUUCCAUAUCUGUAUCAUUAGGAUGCAUUCAUACCUGAUACUAGUAAAAGGAAUUUGUUCAGUUAAAAGUAUGCUCUAAGUACUACUGUCAUAGAGACCAAAUAUCAUAAACAUUUAUUUAUUGUAAUUUUUUUUUGCUAUAAUUUGUUGCAAGGAGUUUGUAUAUGAACACGGCUUUAUUUUUAAAGUUUAUAAAAGUAUGCUCUCGAUGAAUUUGCUUUACUUUACUUUCUUACUCGUAAGUUUACAUAUUUAACUUGGGCUGUGUUCGUUAGUGUCACGAGUUUUUCCUGCGUUUUUUUUUGUGUCGGAAUUCUACAACAGUAAAGUAUGGCUCAGAUUGACAAUCCGUUUUGGUUGUAUGAAGAGGAUUCGCCACAACCUUCAACUGCCGCUAAUAGCAGUUCUAAAAGAAAGCUGAACCAGUGAAGCGGGCUAAAAAGUCCCAAAAGAAAAAAGUUCUGCCGGUGAAAAAUCCAUUUGCUGGGGAAUCAGAUUCCGACAGCGAUACGAUAAAGAUUGCCGAGGAUACUACUCCACCAGCUAUCAAACGAAAGAAAAUUGCUGUUUUUCCUGACUCUGAGGAUGAAUCGCAACAACCGAUUCGAGCGGCGACUUUAAGAAGUGCUUUCUCUCAGCGCGUAGCUUCGGGUUACAGCUACCAAUCAGACCCGACGAAAACAGGGCAAUACUUCUUCGAACUGAGAGUGUACAACACUCGCGAGGCUGAGCGGCUGUCAUACAACGAGCGCUGGAAGCAAGCUCUCGUAACUUUGAAGCUUGCUACUGACCAGAACACUGGUACUUGGGCUGCAUUAACCGGUCUAGUUAAUGCUGGUCGAAAAGAAAUGAGGGAUAUUCGCCCGGUACUGUACCCUAAUCCCAAUAAUUAGCAUAUCAUAGCCUAGCUAUCCUACUAUUUUUUUUUUACUUUUUUUAGAUUCAUGUAAUCCCCAUCUUAGGUUUAUAAUACCCAUUUAACUUUAUAGCAAAUAUUUUAUUGUAUCUUAUUAUUACGUAUGUGCCAUAAGUCUUUUAUUAUUGUUCAUCGAUAUAAAAUAAACCUUGCAGGCUUUACAAAUAACAAUUACAUUUUAUUCCUUCUAAUUGCAUCUAUAUGUAUUCUUUUACAGACAUUUUACACAUGAGAAAUAAAUAAAAAUAUACAUGAGAAAUUGAUUAACUGCACAAAUGAAACAAUAAAUUGAUUAAAAAUUACAAUUGAGACUUUAAAUAAGAUUAACUUUGUUUUAUGAUACAUUUAAAAUUCAAAUUGCAUAUAUUAUGUGUAUUCUCUUACAGCCAUUUAACGCAAGAGAAAUUAAAAAUUGAUGAAAUUUACAAAUGAGAUUGAUAAAACAUAAUAUAAUAUAAAACAUAUAAGAUAAUUGCAUCUAUAUGUAUUCUUUUACAGACAUUUUACACAUGAGAAAUUAAAAAUUGAUGAAAUAUACAAAUGAGAUUGAUAAAACAUAAUAUAAUAUAAAACAUAUAAGAUAAUUGCAUCUAUAUGUAUUCUUUUACAGACAUUUUACA